UCCGUAUAACAAUACUCCGAGAACUGAAAGGCUUUUUGAAGUCUUCGGAUGGAUAGAAGAACCCCUGAUGCCGUCGAGCCAAGAAAAGUUUCUAAGUUUAGCUAAUGUUGCCCGUACCGUAAACCGACACAGGUGGGUGGGAUGAGUAUUCUAAGGCGCGUGGAAGAACUCUCUUUAAGGAACUCUGCAAAAUAGCACCGUAUCUUCGGUAUAAGGUGUGGUUAGCUUCGUACUAGGAUUUACUCCGAAAGCGAAGAAACUUACAACAAAGAGUCCCUCCCGACUGUUUACCAAAAACACAGCACUCUGCUAACUCGUAAGAGGAUGUAUAGGGUGUGACGCCUGCCCGGUGCUCGAAGGUUAAUUGAUGGGGUUAGCAUUAGCGAAGCUCUUGAUCGAAGCCCGAGUAAACGGCGGCCGUAACUAUAACGGUCCUAAGGUAGCGAAAUUCCUUGUCGGUUAAAUACCGACCUGCAUGAAUGGCGUAACGAGAUGGGAGCUGUCUCAAAGAGGGAUCCAGUGAAAUUGUAGUGGAGGUGAAAAUUCCUCCUACCCGCGGCAAGACGGAAAGACCCCGUGGACCUUUACUACAGCUUGACACUGCUACUUGGAUAAGAAUGUGCAGGAUAGGUGGGAGGCUUUGAGUAUAUGACGCCAGUUGUAUAUGAGCCAUUGUUGAGAUACCACUCUUUCUUAUUUGGGUAGCUAACCAGCUUGAGUUAUCCUCAAGUGGGACAAUGUCUGGUGGGUAGUUUGACUGGGGCGGUCGCCUCCCAAAUAAUAACGGAGGCUUACAAAGGUUGGCUCAGAACGGUUGGAAAUCGUUCGUAGAGUAUAAAGGUAUAAGCCAGCUUAACUGCAAGACAUACAAGUCAAGCAGAGACGAAAGUCGGUCUUAGUGAUCCGGUGGUUCUGUGUGGAAGGGCCAUCGCUCAAAGGAUAAAAGGUACCCCGGGGAUAACAGGCUGAUCUCCCCCAAGAGCUCACAUCGACGGGGAGGUUUGGCACCUCGAUGUCGGCUCAUCGCAUCCUGGGGCUGGAGCAGGUCCCAAGGGUAUGGCUGUUCGCCAUUUAAAGCGGUACGCGAGCUGGGUUCAGAACGUCGUGAGACAGUUCGGUCCCUAUCUGCCGUGGGCGUAAGAAGAUUGAAGAGAUUUGACCCUAGUACGAGAGGACCGGGUUGAACAAACCACUGGUGUAGCUGUUGUUCUGCCAAGAGCAUCGCAGCGUAGCUAAGUUUGGAAAGGAUAAACGCUGAAAGCAUCUAAGCGUGAAGCCAACUCUAAGAUGAAUCUUCUCUAAGCUCUCUAGAAGACUACUAGUUUGAUAGGCUGGGUGUGUAAUGGAUGAAAGUCCUUUAGCUGACCAGUACUAAUAGAGCGUUUGGCUUAUCUUU
RNAcentral lists this ribosomal RNA (1396 nucleotides) under Campylobacter jejuni. Its description in RNAcentral is "partial 23S ribosomal RNA". It matches the Rfam family "Bacterial large subunit ribosomal RNA", at positions 1533 to 2925 of the family's 2925-position model. Lineage: Bacteria; Pseudomonadati; Campylobacterota; Epsilonproteobacteria; Campylobacterales; Campylobacteraceae. The record is from RNAcentral.